ACAAAUCUAAGGUGAUUUAAACCAAACAAUAACCUCGCACUGACCUAGGUGCCAUGGGAGAUGAUGAUGAUGGUGAGAGUACAUACAAUGUGGCAGGCGUGGUGCUAGGUACUGUGUGUGUGUACUUACAUCUUCACAACAGUACAAGGUAGAAAUUAUCCCCAUUUUAGAAAGGGGGAAACUGAGGUUCAGAAAGGUUCUAUGACAUGGUCAAGCCCAUUGAAGGAGUAAAGAGCAUUGGUAUUCAAAGCAUUGUUGUCUGGCUCCAAAGCUUGCAUCCUUCUCUCUGCACCAGACUGAGAUUUAAAAAAAAAAAAGGCAGCAGAAGGUUCAGUGUUAGCCCUAAAGGAAAUUACAGCAGAAGACAGAAUGUGAUCAGGUUCCCGAGCGAGGCAGAGGUCAGGGAGGGGACGGCGUGGCAGAGCUGUCCAGGCGGGAAGGUUCUGCAGAGGAGCUCCUUGGGUCAGGCUUUCUGGGCUCCCAGGUCAGCACUGCUGCCAGGCCUGCUGAGGAUUUGAGAGCCGACUUGGACUGUAAUCCUGCUUUCCUCAUUUAACAGCUGCUAACGUGACCUUGGGCAGGAUGGUAAAGGGACGAAGAGUCUGAACACUAACAUCUGACAGCCUUGGGUCUGUGUCUCAGUUUGACUAACUUAUUAGCUGUGUGUCCUUGGGCCAGUCACUUAACCAUUCUGAGCUAUGGUUUCCUUAUCUGAAAUGAAAAUCAUAAUAGUCCCUUCCUUGAAGGGCUGAGGGGAGGAUUAAAUGUGACAAUGUGUGUAAAGUGCCUGGCACAGAGUAAUAGUGAUAAUAUCAGCCAAGAGUUAUCAAGUGCUCACCACAUGCUAGGCCUUGUGCCCCAAAUGCCUUAUGUAUAUUUUUUUAUUUAAUCCUGAUAACAAUACUGUGAAGUGGAUGCUAUUAUUAUUGACAAUGUAGAGAUGAGCAAACUGAAUCUCAGACUGGUUGCCCAAGGCCACAGGGCUGGCAGGUGGCACAGCUGGAAUAGAGACCACCCAGUAAAUGAGACUAAAAUUGAAAAACGAAUUGGAGGUGUGGGGCUUCUGCUUCAUGAGAUACGCUAGGGUUUCUGAAGACUUGAAAGAGGAUUUUUGCCACUGCUAUAGCCCAGGUGGGAGAGAGGAGAAGCACUUUUUCUUCUGAGUAGGAGAUAGUGGCUGCAGUGGCGGCAUUUCCUCUGCCUCCACAGGCAGCAAGUUGAAGGUUUACAGGAGCAAAGGAUUUCAGCUCUCUCUGGGCAAACUUGCUUUUCUCUCUGGAAAUUAUAAUUUGUCAAUCUUUGGUGAGCAAGGAUUCCUCCAGCCCAGAAAUUCCAGUUGAUAGCAUUUCCCUGUGAGCGAGAGAGCUCAGAGAAGCCUUUUGCAGUAGGCUGUUGAAGAUUAAUUGCCAAGUCAUCCAGGGGCUGAAAUCAUGUCAGGAGCACACACAUUUGGGGAGAGCCCGGAGCCCUGAAUUGGGGGCUGGGGUGUUAUAGAGCCAAAGUAUGGAGUGUGAAAAGCCUAUUGAGUCUGGAACAAAGAAUGGGUCCCUCCUCCUUCAUGCCCCAGCAGCUUCUCCUGGAGGACAAGGUAACCGGUCUCUAACACCAACAGGCAGUGCUGCAGAACUAAGGGCCAAGGGAAGCGUAUGCCGUUUUCUUGAAUAACUCUGGCUUUGCCCAUUGCUUGUCUGGAAAUCUUUGGUGGCCCCCAAAUUUCUCCAGAAAAGGUCUUUGGGUUGCAAUCUGUGUGAAGGUGAGCACACAGCUGUGUUUGCACCACGCUCUUCACAAGACAGAUGUAGUUGUCUGUAUCAGGUUGCUGACGGAGUGUUUCUGGGGCUAAAAACACUUCCGAGCUGUCUUUGUAGUGCCACGGUGAGAGUUUACUUUCUAACCACAGUUGUUGCAACCAUCAAAGGUGAAACAAAGUUGUGGCAGUAGGUGCCAUACAGCUGAUUUUUCAAGACAUUGGCCCCUCUGGGCUCCACUGCUAAAAUCAAGAUCUGAAAUGUUAGAAUCAGAUGGACCCCAGUCCAUCUAGUCCAGGGUCAGCAAACUAGAUUUCCAUGGGACAGAUCCAGCCUUGUGCCUGUUCUUGUAUACACAAGUUUUAUUAGAGAACAGCUACGCCCAUUCAUUUGGGUAUUGUCUAGGGUAUGUCUAUGGUCUGAUGGCAGGGUUGUUCAGCUGCAACAGAGAUGGCUAUUCUGCAAGGCCUAAAGCAUGUGUUCUCUGGCCAUUUAUAGAAAAUGUUUGUUGACCCUUGAUCUAGUCUAACCACAUGUAGAGACCCAAGGGCCUAGAAAGGGGAAGGGAUUUACCUAAGGCAGAAUCAGGGUCCAUAGCCUGGAGAUGUGACUCCACUCCAUGCCUCUUUUUUGCCACCACUGUCACCCAUUUCUGAAGCCUGACACAGACUCUAAGUAUGAAUCUUAGCUUGGGCUGAUCAGAUGAGUAACCUUGGACAAGCUACACACACUCUUUUGGCCUCCAUUUUUUUCAUCUGAGACCUGGGGAUAAUGCUUUCUGUUUUUUGAGAUAAUGCACAAUACAUAGGUGGUUGCAAGAAUUAUGGGAGCUAUAGUCUGUAAUGCUUAUGCUGGGACCUGGCUCAUAAAAAACACCUGGCCCAAAGUGGCAAGAUUAUUAUGUUGAUGUCCUCUGUAAUUUUAUGUGUAUUAAUCUUAUUCCUCCCUGCUCCAAAUUUCAUUAGAAAAAGGGAUACCUCUUCCCAGUGGUUCUUUAACUUUUUGGCCCCUAGAACUUACUGAGAGCUGUGGAUAUGUUGUUUUACUCCACAGUUUCCCUAAAUUCCUCGUAGGGGCUUCCUCAGUGCCAAGUUCCUGGCAGGGCCCCUUGACCAAUUGAUUUCCACCCUGUUUAUUUCUUAUUUUUGUUUGCCGAGCCUCUCUCCUGCUCACUCUAUCUUGGUGCAAACUCUCACUUUUGGGAAACAGAACUAAUCCAGUGUUUUACCAUUCAUCAUGGAGCAGAACUUGCACUGAAUAAAGUGAAUGGACGCUGGCCUUUCUUGUCUUCUCAGAGUUCACAGUCUUAAGAUGAAUAACAGGAAUGUCCCUCUGAGAAUGUAGAGAGUCAUGCCUGACAUUGAACAGUGAUGUGAGUUAAAUAAGGAAACACAUAAAUGCAUGACAUGCAUCUCAAGUUUCUCUAUCCUUCCUCUUCUUCCUCUUUUGUGCUCUUCGAACAAAACCAUCCAAUCCCUUCUGGGGGGUUUUCACUUGGGGUGGCCACCAAGUUCAAAAAGGUCUAAAGGAAGUGGUGGGAACCUUCUUCCUUGGGGGCAUCUAAAAAUUGUAUCUGGACAAAGAGUUAGAGCCCAGCUUUGGAGAGGACAGGCUGAGCCCCUGGGGAGCACGGCCAGGAAGUGAUGUCGUAGAGUGAUCUCUGCCUGCUCUGGCAGAGGUGACAGGGUAGGACCCUGGGAUGGGGGUGGGCAUGCUUGGGAAAUAGUGACGUCACUUCAGGCCCCAUGGGCACCGCAGGGAGGGAGGAGUGUGAGAAAGAGGCAAGUUUUCUUUGCCCAUCUCCACCAUGUCCUGAGGAAUGCCGGGACAGGAAAUGCCCAGCGUUUCUCAACUGUUUACUAGACGCCAGACAGAGGGAUUUGGAAGGUUGCCUUGGGAGUCAUGAAAAGAUGAAGAGAGUAGGAGGAGGAGUCUUGGUUUUCUGCCUCUUGUGAGACUGCCCUGGUAAGUGCUCAGGGGUAGGGUAUGUGGAAGAUUUUGUGGGAAGUUCUAGACAGGAGCACCUGGGAUAAUGGCAGUUAGCGCCAUCGUAUGAAUUCCGAGUUCUUGGAAGGGCUUUCAAAUAUCACCCCAAUCCUUUGGAGUGCUCUCCGACGAGAGGUAAGCACUGCCUCCUCUGUUUUAACUAUGAGUGCAGUUAAUGCCCCAAGCAUGUGCUGAGCUAAUUCAUAGGCAUUAUCUCACUUAAUCACUCCAAACUAAACCUGGUGAAAGACACUGUUGGCUCCAAUUUACAGGUGAGGAAACAGAGGAUACAAGCAAUUAAUUAACUUGCUCAAUAUUAUUCAGAGACAGGAUUAGAGCCAAAGUGGUUGACUCAAAGCUGAUACUUUUCACCUCUCAGGUAACCCAAGCUGGGCUGCAGGCUGACCUCACUGAUAAAGAAAGUGACAGGAAUUUCUGGGCACUUCAGCAGGCCAGAGCCACGGGGCAGAGAGGCAGAGAUUGUUUUGGUUUGUACCCUAUUGUACAAUGCAAACAAAGGCCCUUCUCCUGGGUUGGAUCUGAGGAUUACACCUCUUCUCUAACCUCUCCCUGGGAACCUCAAGUGAGGUCAAGGUCUUGUAUCAGGCUUGAGCCUUAAUUCUUCCAAGAAGAAGGGAAGGAGACCUGAUCCAAUAAUUGCCUUUAAGGACUGUAAAGGUUAUUGAUCCUAUGAUGGCAACUAACUGUUGUCUAUCUCAGAGAGGGGGGAGGGUGGAAUGGAAGAGAGAGAAUGUAGAUGUAGACUCCAAAGACAGCAGGAGAUAUGUCAGUUAGACCUAAGGAAGUAGCUUAUUAAACAUCAGAUCAAAUUCCAGCUGCUGCCCCUUCCUAGCUUUGUGACUUUACUUCAUUUAUUUAAGCUUCUGUUUAUUUGUAAAAUGGGGAUUUUAAUAGUAUUUACCCCAUCAAGUUGUUAUAAGGAUUGAAUGAGACUUUGGCAUCUCUAAAGCCCUCAAAACGUGGUCGUUAUUGUUGAUGUUUUUUUAUAAGCUUAAACACAUACAACAGAUUUCUCAGUAUCUGGAGUAUUUGGGUACAGAUUUUCCUAGUUGAUGUCUCGGUGAUACUUUCAACCCUUUCCUUGCCAGGUGAUAUAAUUGAUUUCUUUCUUUUUUUUCUGAUAUAAAUAGCCAUGAACAAAGAGUGGCUUGAAAAAUAACAAUAAUAGAAAGAACACUAAGUAACAUCUGUUGAGAGCUUACGGUGUGCCGGGCUUGUGUUCUGUGCUUUACAUGCACGAUCUCAUUUUAACCUAAGAGUUCUAUCAAGUAGGAGGAAAUGAUAUAUCUGGCCUUUGAGAAGCAACUUGUGAGAUUGGCUGUACCUCAUGUAGAGAGUCCAGGACUUGCUGAAAAUGUCUCUUCACAUAGAGAACUCAAAGUUAGGUUGGAGACCAACACCAGUGGGUGUUGGUGGGCUUGGGGAGUGCGGUGUGGAGGCGGCGGGUCCUGGGAACUUGCUGGGCAGAGGGGAAGGGAACCUGCUUGGUCCAGCGGGCUGGGGCAGCUAGCUUGCAGCCUGUAAUUCUUGGCCACUGGUACAAUUAGUGUCAAGAGGAACUUUCCCUGUUUGUCAGACCAAAGAGGCCCACAGACUAUAAACCAUCAUGUCAGAGGGCGACUGUUCGUGCCCAAGAAAGCAGGGAAGGGAGACCCAUGUGAAUGUCCACUAGCCCUCAAUCCUGCAAAGAGAAUCAGCUCCGUGAGAAGGAAAGAAGAAAAGGAGGGAAAAGGGCAGGGAACAGACUUCAGUGAAUACAUAUUUUCAAUUAAAUCCCAGGGGUGGAAAGUGAAAAGAAAAAAAUUAUUCGGUCUGGAGCUGUUUUCUCUCAAGUCAAGCUGAGGAACUUGUCCCUAAGGCUGUUAGACCAGCUCCAGGUAGAAAUAUUUAGACCUUUGUUGUUACCUAAAAACUUGAGAAUGUUCCUUCGCUCAGCCUGAGGACUGCCUGCUUUACCUCUUCUUGCGGCUGCUCCAUGGGGAACCUAGGAAUUCAGAAAGAAACAGGGAGUCAUUUAGCAGACAAAAGUUUUCCUACAUAGCCAGCGAUGUUCAAACUUUACUCAGCAUAAGAUUCCCCUGAGUGAGCCUUAACAUGCAGAUUCUUGGCUCUUAGUCCCAGAUAGUUUGAUCCAGGAAGUCUGAAGUGAGGCCCAGGAAUUUAUAUAUAUAUAUUUUUUUUUGCAAGAAAUCCAAGGAUUCUACUCCAGAAGCCCAGCAGGCCACAUUUUGUGAAACAUCAUUUUAGUCCAUCACCCCAUUUUGCAGAUCAUCAAGUGGAGGCCCAGAAAGUGCAAAUGAGUGGGCUGAAUGUCUCAGAGGGUGUAGGUGUUAAGCCUAGGUUGUACGAUUACCAAUACUGCCAGUCUUGUCUUGGUUGGACCCAUUAAAGAUGACAUUGGCCUCCACUUGCCGUGGCUUAUUCUCCUUGUCAAGGGCGUGUGGCUCUUCAAGUCUCGAGCCAGAGUCCCUUCCUCAGGGAAGACAGUCUUGUCCCUCCCCAUCUCAGUCCAGGUGAGGUUCCUUUCCUGACUGCUCUCAGAAAACCAUAUCCCUGUUCUCAGAGCAUUCCCCCUGGCUUGUGUUUACUCACUCCUCCCUGUGGUUAUUGGAUCAAUAGCUCCCUCCCUCCCUAGACUUCAGGCUCAGUGAGAGCAGGCAGGGUGUUUCUUCUUGCACAUCCCAGGGGCUAAUACACUGUUAGAUGGCUCAUAUGUGUUCAAUAAAUAUUUAUUAGAUGAAUAAGAGAAUGAAUGAGUGAAUAAAAGUCUUAACCGAGAGUCAAAAUUAAGAAGAAUUUGUGAAACUUGUGCCCUUUGAUGGGGUUUCUCUUUUUAGACUUUUUUGGGGGUUCUCUCUUUUUUGGUCCUUUUUUAGGGCUGUACCUGUUGCAUAUGGAGGUUCCCAGGCUAGGGCUUGAAUCAGAGCUAUAGCCGCUGGGCUAUGCCACAGCCACAGCACUGUAGGAUCUGAGCCACGUCUGUGACCUAUACCACAGCUCAGAUCCAAUAACCCACUGGCCAGAUCCUUAAUGCCAGAUCCUUAACCCACUGAGCGAGGCCAGGGAUCGAACCUGCAUCCUCAUGGUUGCUAGUCAGAUUCGUUUCCACUGAGCCAUGAUGGGAACUCCAGGGGGUUCUUGUUUUUGACCCAGGUUUUUGAUGCCAACCUCUAAUCCCAUCCCUAAAACCGGCGCUUCUUGUAGGCAAAAUUGUGUAGAAAGUUUGCUCUGUUUGAUUGUCUCUCUGUUUAUUUCUUUAAUCUAUCUUCUCAUGCUCUCUGGCAGGUGUGAGGUUAUAGCUCACUGUGGUUUUAAUCUGCACUUCCCUGAUGAUUAGUGAUGGUGAGCAUAUUUUCUUCUGUUUGUUGGCCAUUUGUAUGUCUUCUUUGGAAAAAUACCUAUUUAGCUCCUCUGCCCUCUGCCCAUGUUUUAAUUGAGUUGUUUGUUUUUUGAUGUUGAUUUGUAUGAGUUUGCUGUAUAUUUUGGAUAUUAACCUCUUAUUGGAUGGUUUUUUUUUUUUUUGCAAAUAUCUUUUCCCAUUCAGUAGGCUAUUUUUUUGUUUUAUUGAUAGUUUCUUUGAGGUGCAAAAGCUUUUUGGUUUGAUAUACUCCCAUGUGUUUAUUUUUGCUUUUGUUCCAUAUUAUAAAGACAACAAAUAACAAAUGUUGGCAAGGAAGCAGAGAAGAGGGAACCCUCUUACACUGUUGGUAGAAAUGGAAAUUGGUGCACAGAACGGAGGAUCUUCAAAAAUUAAAGACAGAACUGCCAUAUAAUCCAACAAUUGAACUUCUGGAUUUUUACCCAAAGAAAACAAAAACAGUAAUUAGAAAAGAUAUAUGCAUUCCAAAGUUCAUUGCAGCAUUAUUUACAAUAGGCAAGAUAUGGAAGCAACCUAAGAGUCCACAGACAGAUGAAUGGAUAAAGAUAUGAUAUAUGUAUACACCUACAACACACACACACCACACAGGAAUAUUACUCAGCUAUAGAAAAUGAAAGCUCGUUGGGAGUUUCCUUCAAGGCUCGGGGGUUAACAAACCUGACUAGGAUCCAUGAGGAUGCAGGUUCGAUCCCUAGCCUCACUCAUUGGCUUAAGGAUGCAGCAUUGCCAUGAGCUCUGCUAUAGGUCUCAGACAUGGCUUGGAUCUGGCAUUGCUGUGGCCAGCAGCUGUAGCUCUGAUUCGACUCCUAGCAUGGGGACUUCCAUAUAUAGGUGAGGCCCU
RNAcentral lists this long non-coding RNA (7975 nucleotides) under Sus scrofa (pig). RNAcentral's name for it is "lncRNA (ENSSSCG00000056822.1)". The record is from RNAcentral. Lineage: Eukaryota; Metazoa; Chordata; Mammalia; Artiodactyla; Suidae.